This 595-nucleotide ribosomal RNA is filed under the name Trichoderma erinaceum. RNAcentral describes it as "eukaryotic LSU rRNA". The stretch from base 213 to 366 matches the Rfam family "5.8S ribosomal RNA". Lineage: Eukaryota; Fungi; Ascomycota; Sordariomycetes; Hypocreales; Hypocreaceae. The record is from RNAcentral.
GUUGGUGACCAGCGGAGGGAUCAUUACCGAGUUUACAACUCCCAAACCCAAUGUGAACCAUACCAAACUGUUGCCUCGGCGGGGUCACGCCCCGGGUGCGUCGCAGCCCCGGAACCAGGCGCCCGCCGGAGGGACCAACCAAACUCUUUACUGUAGUCCCCUCGCGGACGUUAUUUCUUACAGCUCUGAGCAAAAAAUUCAAAAUGAAUCAAAACUUUCAACAACGGAUCUCUUGGUUCUGGCAUCGAUGAAGAACGCAGCGAAAUGCGAUAAGUAAUGUGAAUUGCAGAAUUCAGUGAAUCAUCGAAUCUUUGAACGCACAUUGCGCCCGCCAGUAUUCUGGCGGGCAUGCCUGUCCGAGCGUCAUUUCAACCCUCGAACCCCUCCGGGGGGUCGGCGUUGGGGAUCGGGAACCCCUCAGACGGGAUCCCGGCCCCGAAAUACAGUGGCGGUCUCGCCGCAGCCUCUCCUGCGCAGUAGUUUGCACAACUCGCACCGGGAGCGCGGCGCGUCCACGUCCGUAAAACACCCAACUUUCUGAAAUGUUGACCUCGGAUCAGGUAGGAAUACCCGCUGAACUUAAGCAUAUCAAUAA